This 618-nucleotide long non-coding RNA is filed under the name Monodelphis domestica (gray short-tailed opossum). RNAcentral describes it as "lncRNA (ENSMODG00000033168.2)". Lineage: Eukaryota; Metazoa; Chordata; Mammalia; Didelphimorphia; Didelphidae. The record is from RNAcentral.
GAGGGCUGCUUUUGGGUCUUCUCCUUUGGAAUUCAUCUUGGAACUCUGAAUUGGUGAGCUGGACUGAAGGAGGACACUCUUUCCCUGGAUCCUGCGUUGGCUUGCUAGGUAGAUGUGGUGGAACAUAUCUGUGAUUCUUGCUGCCUAAGACUUGUGGAGCAAUUGAAUUCAGGAGUUUUGAGCUUCAGUGAGCUGAGUCUGUGCUGAGCCUGACCACCAAUGUGGUCUGUAAGCUAGAAAAAGGAAGAAUUCCAGAAAUUGGGCCAUGUGGCUUUCCAUCAUACUUUUGAAGAACAAAAAUGGACCCUAACUAUGAGAAGAGAAUGGAGGUACCAAGGAGUGUCAUUGGCUCUUCAAGUUUCAUGGAGCAGGAGAGAAAGACUGGGGGAAAUCUGAUGCAAAGAUCCUAGAUCAUGCUUCCCUGCUGCUGCUCCUGGUACAUAUUUCCAACUGGACCUUUAGAAAUGUCCCCUGGAUGAACUAAGCUGCUUGGCUUUGGAACUCUUGCCUCAGCAUAAUGCUUUUGUGAUUGGUGAGAAGAUAUUCUAUCUAACCAGCUCUAGACCAUAGCUUAUUAUUUUUUCUCCACGGGUUAUCAUUAAACCUGAAUCAUUCUGU